Long non-coding RNA from Zonotrichia leucophrys gambelii, 1531 nucleotides. RefSeq lists it as uncharacterized. The record is from RefSeq and is a predicted model, not a curated record. Lineage: Eukaryota; Metazoa; Chordata; Aves; Passeriformes; Passerellidae. The transcript has 3 exons.
GGAGUUGGUUUGCUACUUUGUGAGGAGGAAAGAAUGCUCUUGAGAAACACCAAGAAGAAAAGGUUGGAGUGAGUCCAGAGGAGGACCAUGAAGAUGAUUAGAGUGCCACAGCAUCUCUGCUAUGAAGACAGACUGAGAGAUUGGGGCUGUUCAUCCCGGAGAAGAGAAGGCUCCAGGGGCUGAGAGUGGUCCCUGGCACAGUUUAUUUCUGGAAUUUACACUAAGCCUAAGGGUGCUUAGUCUCUCUUCCCUUGCAUGGUGAAGGGUGCUCAGAGAACUCCUCCAGUACCAUGAAAUCGCUGGACAUUUUGCUGCAGAGGCAGUGACCUGAAGCCAGCAGCACCAAGGGAACACUGAGAACAGUAAGAGGAAAAACACUUGUAAAAUUCCUGAGAUAAGCCACAAAUAUGAGGAGGCUGUGAAAGGAAAGCCUGACUUGAAGUUCCAUGGAAUGCCAUCAGCAAAACCAGCCUAAGACGUUUCUGCUCACCCUAUUACCACAUUUCAUAGUCACUUGACUGGUUUGUACUGGUUUUGGCUAGGGCAGAGUUAAUUUUCUUGGCAGCAGCCUAUAUGGUGCCAUCUUUUAGGAUUUUGAUGGAAACUGUGUUGAUAAUAACAUGGGUGUGUGUUAGCUACUGCUGAGCAGGGCUUACACAGUGUCAAAGCUGCUUUUACUUCUCGCAUUGAUGCACCAGUGAGUGGGCUGGGGGUGGGCCGGAGGUUUGGAGGGGACAGACAUGGGGCAGAGCUGACCACUGUGACAAAAGGGACAUCCCAUACCAUACAACAAUGAUCAGCAAUAAAAGCUGGGGACUGGCCAGGCACUAGUUGUCUCAAGGACAGCAGUUGCUAUUUCUUGCAUCAGUUGUCUUUCUUGUGUGCUUUUUUUGUUAUUGAUUUUGUGUGUGUGCGUGUAGGUUUGUGAUGGAUUUUUGUUUGUUUCUUUUUUAGUAUCCUUCCCUUUUUACUUAUUAAACUGCGUUUAUCUCAACCCAUACAUUUUCUCACUUUGCCCCUCCUAUUCUCUCCCCAACCCAUGGUAGGGGUGAGCAAGCAGCUGUGUGGGGCUGAGCUGCCCACCAGGCCUAACACACAAACCAGGCUGUUACAUCUCUUUGCAGGGCUGUACUGAAAUCCAGGUGAGGAGAUCCAUAUCAAAAACAAAUCAGUAUACCAUGAUAUUGAGAUCACACUCAUAAAGAGCAGAUGGUCCAGAAGAUUCACAGACCGUCUUUUAACUUGCUGUGAAUGCUUUAGACUACUCUGCCAUUUCUCUGAUCUCAAAUCACCAUUGGAAAGACCACACACUAACUAAAUGUAUUUACUAUUAGGAAAGAAUUACCCACACAGGUCUUCAGAAUGUAAUCAGUGAUCUGCAAAGCACAAGUUUAUGAAUAACUAUUUGCAGUUUUCAAUCUCCAGCCCACAUUUUGAUCUCAAUUACAGAUGCCUCCCAGUCAGGGGAGCAGAAACAGGACCACAUUAUUUAAGGCAGGACAUAAAGGUUGCAAAUAGAAAACUGUGUGAC